Molecule: long non-coding RNA, 945 nt
Filed under: Anas platyrhynchos platyrhynchos (common mallard)
Lineage: Eukaryota; Metazoa; Chordata; Aves; Anseriformes; Anatidae
Description: lncRNA (ENSAPLG00000024482.1)
Source: RNAcentral
GGGCUGGAUACUUGAGGGCUAGUAUACUUCAACUGGCGUGGCUGUACAUUUCUCUAAGAACAAAAUUUCAUUCUCUUUGUCCUUGAGCAUGAAAAGAAUGCCCCAAGAUUUAAACUGUAUGUGUUUUUGAAAAUGAAAUGUGAACAGAAUAAAACCUAAGAGAAUAUAUGUUGUAGAAAACUGGAAACAGUCUUUCCAAAUGAGUUCAGGAUGAGCAAAUCCCAACCCUAAUUUGUAAUGCGCUUUAAAGUCUUUAGCUCACAUAUAAGCCAUGUUCUCAAGCUUAUCAGUAACCAGAAAGAUGGUGUGAAUUCAGAUUAAUACUUAAAAGUUUUCAUUUGUUUUGUAAUUCUUUUCUUUGGAGGUUGCCUUGCUUUGCUUUGAGCAUAUGAGUUUUUCAGAGCCUGAGUGACCAACUAAACCUGGACUCAUGUUCUUUUCUGCACAUCUUUUUCCACAGAUAACACUUCAAUUCAUCAGACUAGCUUGUUUGUGCUGUCUCCCUGAAUUCUUUUGUAUGGCGUCAGUUCUUGAAAAUGUUCUUCAGUCAUCUCUAACAGGCCAGUGGGAUGACAUGAAAUGAUAGGCUGGAAUCUACCGUAAUUCUUCAACCAUUCAAGCAAUCAACCAAAUCUAAUCAACUGUUUGCUUCAUGUGGUUUUUGGUUUUGUUUUUAUUUUAGUUCCUAGCCUACUUUAAAAUGUCAGCACGUUAAAAAAAAAAAAAAGUUGGGGGGGGAGGGCUGAGAAAAUACUGUAUAAUUUUUUUUUCAUUCCCUUUCAUGGCCAGAAUAUAUUUAAUUAAAUAUGUUUCCCAGGCAGUUUGGGGUGGCCCUUUCUUUUUAAAGGAAAGAGGCAGCCAGAGAGUCUUCUUCCUUAAAAGAAUGUGGUACAAUUGCCUAAAGUAACUAGGAAAAUAAAAUUCACAUUUUAAAGAAAAUGUACA